CCUACGGGUGGCAGCAGUGAGGAAUAUUGGUCAAUGGGCGCGAGCCUGAACCAGCCAAGUAGCGUGAAGGAUGACUGCCCUACGGUUUGUAAACUUCUUUUAUAAAGGAAUAAAGUGAGGCACGUGUGGCUGUUUGUAUGUAUUUUAUGAAUAAGGAACGGCUAACUCCGUGCCAGCAGCCGCGGUAAUACGGAGGAUCCGAGCGUUAUCCGGAUUUAUUGGGUUGAAAGGGAGCGUAGAUGGGUUGUUAAGUCAGAUGUGAAAGUUUGGGGCUCAACCGUAAGAUUGCAAUUGAUACUGGAGGCCUUGAGUACAGUUGAGGUAGGCGGAAUUCGUGGUGUAGCGGUGAAAUGCUUAGAUAUCACGAAGAACUCCGAUUGCGAAGGCAGCCUGCUAAACUGCUACUGACAUUGAUGCUCGAAAGUGUGGGUAUCAAACAGGAUUAGAUACCCGGGUAGUC
RNAcentral lists this ribosomal RNA (460 nucleotides) under uncultured bacterium. RNAcentral describes it as "partial 16S ribosomal RNA". It matches the Rfam family "Bacterial small subunit ribosomal RNA", at positions 338 to 795 of the family's 1533-position model. The record is from RNAcentral.